RNAcentral lists this ribosomal RNA (440 nucleotides) under uncultured bacterium. RNAcentral's name for it is "partial 16S ribosomal RNA". It matches the Rfam family "Bacterial small subunit ribosomal RNA", at positions 338 to 795 of the family's 1533-position model. The record is from RNAcentral.
CCUACGGGAGGCUGCAGUGGGGAAUAUUGCUCAAUGGGCGAAAGCCUGAUGCAGCAACGCCGCGUGAGCGAUGAAGGCCUUCGGGUCGUAAAGCCCUGUCCUCAAGGAAGAUUAUGACGGUACUUGAGGAGUAAGCCCCGGCUAACUACGUGCCAGCAGCCGCGGUAAUACGUAGGGGGCUAGCGUUAUCCGGAAUUACUGGGCGUAAAGGGUGCGUAGGAGGGUUAUUAAGUCAAAGGUUAAAUCCUACGGGUUAAACGCAGUACGGCUUUUGACAUUGGUACUUUGGAGUGAGGGAGAGGAAGGUGGAAUUCUUGGUGGAGGGGUAAAAUCCGGAGAGAUUAAGAGGAACACCAGUUGCGAAGGCGGCCUGCUGGACUAUUACUGACGCUGAUGCACGAAAGCGUGGGGAGCAAACAGGAUGAGAUACCCGGGUAGUC